RNAcentral lists this ribosomal RNA (441 nucleotides) under uncultured bacterium. RNAcentral describes it as "bacterial SSU rRNA". It matches the Rfam family "Bacterial small subunit ribosomal RNA", at positions 958 to 1398 of the family's 1533-position model. The record is from RNAcentral.
AACGCGAAGAACCUUACCUGGAUUUGACAUCUCCUGACACCCGUAGAGAUACGGUUUUCGUAGCAAUACGACAGGAAGACAGGUGCUGCAUGGCUGUCGUCAGCUCGUGUGGUGACAUGUUGGGUUAAGUCCCGCAACGAGCGCAACCCUCGCCCUUAGUUGCCAUCAUUCAGUUGGGCACUCUAAGGGGACUGCCGGUGAUAAGCCGCGAGGAAGGUGGGGAUGACGUCAAGUCCUCAUGGCCCUUACAGGCUGGGCUACACACGUGCUACAAUGGCGGUGACAAUGGGAUGCAAUGGCGCGAGCCUGCGCAAAUCUCAAAAAGCCGUCUCAGUUCGGAUUGCACUCUGCAACUCGAGUGCAUGAAGUUGGAAUCGCUAGUAAUCGCGGAUCAGCACGCCGCGGUGAAUACGUUCCCGGGCCUUGUACACACCGAGUAUA